CCUUGUGCCAGCGGUUGCAUUGGCAAAUUUGUUCAUUGCACUGGCUAGCCCAGGGGA
Molecule: microRNA precursor, 57 nt
Filed under: Triops cancriformis
Lineage: Eukaryota; Metazoa; Arthropoda; Branchiopoda; Notostraca; Triopsidae
Description: microRNA tcf-mir-10303b precursor
Source: miRBase by way of RNAcentral